Molecule: long non-coding RNA, 4444 nt
Filed under: Citrus x clementina
Lineage: Eukaryota; Viridiplantae; Streptophyta; Magnoliopsida; Sapindales; Rutaceae
Description: Citrus clementina (C. clementina) long non-coding RNA (CCLE_LNC003219)
Source: RNAcentral
AGCCCCACCCCCCAAGGCUAUAGCCCACCCGUUUUGGUGGCCUUUUUCCACUGGACGAACUUGGCGCUCCGGCCUUUGGGUGGUUAUUUUUGGGCGCGGCUGUGCCCGUCGCCUAUUUUUGGCACGCGGAGACGCCUCGCAAAGUCUCACGCCAUUCCGAGUCCGGCAGACGAAGCUGGCCAGCCCCACCCCCCAAGGCUAUAGCCCGCCCGUUUCUGUGGCCUUUUUCCGCUGGACGAACUUGGCGCUCCGGCCUUCGGGCGGUUAUUUUUGGGCGCGGCUUUGCCCACGGCCUAUGUUUGGCACACGGAGGCCCCUCGCAAAGUCUCGCGGCAUUCCGAGUCCGGCGGACGAAGUUGGCCAGCCCCACCCCCCAAGGCUAUAGCCCACCCGUUUUUGUGGCCUUUUUCCGCUGGACAAACUUGGCGCCCCGGCCUUCGGGAGGUUAUUUUUGGGCGCGGCUGUGCCCGCGGCCUAUUUUUGGCACACGGAGGCGCCUCGCAAAGUCUCGCGCCAUUCCGAGUCCGGCGGACGAAGUUGGCCAGCCCCACCCCCCAAGGCUAUAGCCCACCCGAUUUUGUGGCCUUUUUCCGCUGGGCGAACUUGGCGCCCCGGCCUUUGGGCAGUUAUUUUUGUAUGCGACUUUGCCCGCGGCCUAUUUUUGGCACACGGAGGCCCCUCCCAAAGUCUCGCGGCAUUUCGAGUCCGGCGGACGAAGUUGGCCAGCCCCACCCCCCAAGGCAAUAGCCCACCCGUUUUUAUGGCCUUUUUCCGCUGGACGAACUUGGUGCCCCGGCCUUCGGGUGGUUAUUUUUGGGCGCGGCUUUGCCCGCGGCCAAAUUUUGGCACACGGAGGCCCCUCGCAAAGUCUCGCGGCAUUCCGAGUCCGGCGGACGAAGUGGGCCAGCCCCACCCCCCAAGGCUAUAGCCCACCCGUUUUUGUGGCCUUUUUCCGCCGGGCCAUCUGGCGGCCACUGUCGGGCGCGGGUUUGCCCGCGGUCUGGUCGAGCAUCUCGGAAAGUCUCGCGGCAUUCCGAGUCCGGCGGGCGAAGUAGGCCAGCCCCAAACCCCAAGGUUAUAGCCCACCCAUUUUUGUGGCCUUUUUCCGCUGGACGAGCUUGGCGCCCCGGCCUUCGGGCGGUUAUUUUUGGGCGCGGCUUUGGCCGCGGCCUAUUUUUGGCGCACGGAGGCACCUCGCAAAGUCUCGCGGCAUUCCGAGUCCGGCGGGCGAAGUAGGCCAGCCCCAAACCCCAAGGUUAUAGCCCACCCAUUUUUGUGGGCUUUUUCCACUGGACGAACUUGGCGCUCCGGCCUUUGGGUGGUUAUUUUUGGGUGUGGCAUUGCCCGUGGCCUAUUUUUGGCACACGGAGGCCCCUCGCAAAGUCUCGCGGCAUUCCGAGUCCGGCGGGCGAAGUAGGCCAGCCCCAAACCCCAAGGUUAUAGCCCACCCAUUUUUGUGGGCUUUUUCCACUGGACGAACUUGGCGCUCCGGCCUUUGGGUGGUUAUUUUUGGGUGCGGCGUUGCCCGUGGCCUAUUUUUGGCACACGGAGGCCCCUCGCAAAGUCUCGCGGCAUGCCGAGUCCGGCGGACGAAGUUGGCCAGCCCCACCCCCCAAGGCUCCCACCCGUUUUUGUGCCCUUUUUCCGCUGGACGAACUUGGCGCCCCGGCCUUCGGGAGGUUAUUUUUGGGCGCCGCUUUGCCCGCGGCCUAUUUUUGGCACACGGAGGCCCCUUGCAAAGUCUCGCGGCAUUCCGAGUCCGGCGGACGAAGUUGGCCAGCCCCACCCCCCAAGGCUAUAGCCCACCCGUUUUUGUGGCCUUUUUCCGCUGGACGAACUUGGCGCCCCGGCCUUUGGGGUGUUAUUUUUGGGCGCGGCUUUGCCCGCGGCCUAUUUUUGGCACACGGAGGCCCCUCGCAAAGUCUCGCGGCAUUCCGAGUCCGGCGGACGAAGUUGGCGUGCCCAACCCCCCAAGGCUAUAGCCCACCCGUUUGUGUGGCCUUUUUCCGCGGGACGAACUUGGCGCCCCGGCCUUCGUGUGGUUAUUUUUGGGUGCGGCGUUGCCCGCGGCCUAUUUUUGGCACACGGAGGCGCCUCGCAACGUCUCGCACCAUUCCGAGUCCGGCGAACGAAGUUGGCCAGCCCCACCCCCCAAGGCUAUAGCCCACCCGUUUUUGUGGCCUUUUUCCGCUGGACAAACGCUUUCGGGCAGUUAUUUUUGGGCGCGGCUUUGCCCGCGGCCUAUUUUUGGCACUAGGAGGCCCCUCGCAAACUCUCGCGGCAUUCCGAGUCCGGCGGACGAAGUUGGCCAGCCCCACCCCCCAUGGCUAUAGCCCACCCGUUUGUGUAGCCUUUUUCCGCUGGACGAACUCGGCGUCCCAGCAUUCGGGCGGUUAUUUUUGGGUACGGCUUUGCGCGCGGCCUAUUUUUGGCACACGGAGGCCCGUCGCAAAGUCUCGCGGCAUUCGAAGUCCGGCGGACGAAGUUGGCCAGCCCCACCCCCCAAGGCUAUAGCCCACCCGUUUUUGUGGCCUUUUUCCGCUGGACGAACGCCUUCGGGCAGUUAUUUUUGGGCGCGGCUUUGCCCGCGGCCUAUUUUUGGCACACGGAGGCCCCUCGCAAAGUCUCGCGGCAUUCCAAGUCCGGCGGACGAAGUUGGCCAGCCCCACCCCCCAAGGCUAUAGCCCACCUGUUUUUGUGGCCUUUUUCCGCUGGACGAACUUGGCGCCCCGGCCUUCGGGCAGUUAUUUUUGGGCACGGCUUUGCCCGCGGCCUAUUUUUGGCACACGGAGGCCCCUCGCAAAGUCUCGCGGCAUUCCGAGCCCGGCGGACGAAGUUGGCCAGCCCCACCCCCCAAGGCUAUAGCCCACCCGUUUUUGUGGCCUUUUCCCGCUGGAGGAACUUGGCGCCCCAGCCUUCGGGCGGUUAAUUUUGGGCGCGGCUUUGUCCGUGGCCUAUUUUUGGCACACGGAGGCCCCUCGGAAAGUCUCGCGUCAUUCCGAGUCCGGCGGACGAAGUUGGCCAGCCCCACCCCCCAAGUCUAUAGCCCACCCGUUUUUGUGGCCUUUUUCCGCUGGAUGAACUUGGCGCCCCGGCCUUCGGGCGGUUAUUUUUGGGCGCGGCUUUCCCGCGGCCUAUUUUUGGCACAUGGUGGCCCCUUGCAAAGUCUCACGGCAUUCCGAGUCUGGCGGACGAAGUGGGCCAGCCCCACCCCCCAAGGCUAUAGCCCACCCGUUUUUGUGGCCUUUUUCCGCUGGACGAACUUGGCGUCCAGGCUUCGCGCGGUUAUUUUUGGGUGCGGCUCUGCCCGCGGCCUAUUUUUACACACGGAGGCCCCUCGCAAAGUCUCGCUGCAUUCCGAGUCCGGCGGACGAAGUCGGCCUGCGCCACCCCCCAAGGCUAUAGCCCACCCGUUUUUGUGGCCUUUUUCCGCUGGACGAACUUGGCCCCCCGGCCUUCGGGCGGUUAUUUUUGGGCGCGUCUGUGCCCGAGGCCUAUUUUUAGCAUGCGAAGGUGCCUUGCAAAGUCUCGCGCCAUUCCGAGUCCGGCGGACGAAGUUGGCCAGCCCCACCCCCCAAGGCUAUAGCCCACCCGUUUCUGUGGCCUUUUUCCGCUGGACGAACUUGGCGCCCCGGCCUUCGGGCGGUUAUUUUUUUGUACGGCUGUGCCCGCGGCCUAUUUUUGGUACACGGAGGCACCUCGCAAAGUCUCGUGCCAUUCCGAGUCUGGCGGUCGAAGUUGGCCAGCCCCACUCCCCAAGGCUAUAGCCCACCCGUUUUUGUGGCCUUUUUCCGCUGGACGAACUUGGCGCCCCGGCCUUCGGGCGGUUAUUUUUGGGCGCGGCAAAGUCUCGCGGCCUAUUUUUGGCACACGGAGGCCCCUCGCAAAGUCUCGCGGCAUUCCGAGUCCGGCGGACGAAGUUGGCCAGCCCCACCCCCCAAGGCUAUAGCCCACCCGUUUUUGUGGCCUUUUUCCGCUGGACGAACUUGGCGCCCGGGCCUUCAGGCGGUUAUUUUUGGGCGCGGCUUUGCCCUCGGCCUAUUUUUACACACGGAGGCGCCUCGCAAAGUCUCGCGCCAUUCCGAGUCCGGCGGGCGAAGUGGGCCAGCCCCACCCCCCAAGGCUAUAGCCCACCCGUUUUUGUGGCCUUUUUCCGCUGGACGAACUUGGCGCCCCGGCCUUCGGGCGGUUAUUUUUGGGCGCGUCUGUGCCCGCGGCCUAUUUUUGGCACACGGAGGCCCCACACAAAGUCUCGAGGCAUUCCGAGUCCGGCGGACGAAGUGGCCCAGCCCCACCCCCCAAGGCUAUAGCGCACCCGUUUUUGUGGCCAUUUUCCGCUGGACGAACUUUGCGCCCCGGACUUCGGGCGGUUAUUUUUUGGUACGGCUUUGCCCGCGGCCUAUUUUUGGCACACGGAGGACCCUCGCAAAGUCUCGCGGCANNN